CCUACGGGAGGCAGCAGUAGGGAAUCUUCGGCAAUGGACGCAAGUCUGACCGAGCAACGCCGCGUGAGUGAAGAAGGUUUUCGGAUCGUAAAACUCUGUUGUUAGAAAAGAACAAGGAUGAGAGUGGAAAGUUCAUCCCUUGACGGUAUCUAACCAGAAAGCCACGGCUAACUACGUGCCAGCAGCCGCGGUAAUACGUAGGUGGCAAGCGUUGUCCGGAUUUAUUGGGCGUAAAGCGAGCGCAGGCGGUCUUUUAAGUCUGAUGUGAAAGCCCCCGGCUUAACCGGGGAGGGUCAUUGGAAACUGGGAGACUUGAGUGCAGAAGAGGAAAGCGGAAUUCCAUGUGUAGCGGUGAAAUGCGUAGAUAUAUGGAGGAACACCAGUGGCGAAGGCGGCUUUCUG
Molecule: ribosomal RNA, 402 nt
Filed under: uncultured Streptococcus sp.
Lineage: Bacteria; Bacillati; Bacillota; Bacilli; Lactobacillales; Streptococcaceae
Description: bacterial SSU rRNA
Rfam family: Bacterial small subunit ribosomal RNA
Source: RNAcentral